CGUCCGGGCGCCACCGCCCCCCCCACCCUUGUCUACCGAACGUUUGUUGCCUCGGCGGGCCUGCCGCUCCGUCGGCUGCCGGGGGUCGCAUCACACUCGUGGUCGCGGCCCCGGGCGCGCGCCCGCCAGUGGCCCACACCGAACCUCUUGUGAAACGAACUGUCUGAAUCACAAUGUAAAUCAUUUAAAACUUUCAACAACGGAUCUCUUGGUUCCGGCAUCGAUGAAGAACGCAGCGAAAUGCGAUAAGUAAUGUGAAUUGCAGAAUUCCGUGAAUCAUCGAAUCUUUGAACGCACAUUGCGCCCCCUGGUAUUCCGGGGGGCAUGCCUGUCCGAGCGUCAUUGCAGACCCCUCACGCGCGGCGUGUGUGUUGGGCCGUCGUCCCCUUGACUGUGUGGACGGGCCCGAAAGGCAGUGGCGGCACCGAGACCUUCGGCUGUCCUGAGUGUAUGGGCAACCCCUAGACCGCUCCGUGACCCGAUCGGUGGCCGACCGUCAGAUCGUGAGAUCGAUUUUAUCUUUCCGGUUUGACCUCGGAUCAGGUAGGAAUACCCGCUGAACUUA
RNAcentral lists this ribosomal RNA (565 nucleotides) under fungal sp. CZ-2011l. RNAcentral describes it as "eukaryotic LSU rRNA". The stretch from base 189 to 342 matches the Rfam family "5.8S ribosomal RNA". Lineage: Eukaryota; Fungi. The record is from RNAcentral.